UUCCCUAUCGUGUUCCUUUGUUCAUCUGAGAUUCUGGGGCUCUGAGCCGAUAAUUGUAAAUUCUUAAUUCCCUAUCGUGACAUUUCAUCUCUCUCUCUCAUCCCUUGCCGCAGUAGAAGAAAGCUUCGAUCUUUUGCUUUCCGUAUCACAUAUCUCUCUCUGACCCAUCUUCUGUUCUUGUGUUCUUCAGACAAUUCCCCACAUAUUACUUUAGAUGGGUUAGAUAUAUGUUGAGCCUGUUCUCGAGCAAUAUAGACCUGCCGUUGUGGGCUCUUUGACAUUUUCUAAGCUUACUCUUGGUACUGUGGCACCUCAGUUUACAGAGAUGGAUUCUGAAUCUGAACAUACUAUAGCGCUUCUUGAUGCUCAGCGUGAGUAUAUGGACUGGAAUGCGGAGGAUGCUGAAUUUGAUGAAGACUUGAUGGAACCAGAAGUAGAAAAUCAAGCAACUGCAGCGACUCAAGCAACUGCAGCGACUUAAGCAACGGCAUCAACACAAGCAACCAAACCUCAACAUAAGCGUCGAAAAACCUUAACUGUUUGGAAUGAUUUCGUAUUAGUGGGGAUAGAAGAGGAUGGAAAAAAAAGGGCUAAGUGCAUUCAUUAUGAUUCAAAAUUAGUGUAUAAUAGUAAGACUCAUGGUACAAAUCAGUUGAAGCGACACUUAGAGGGUUGUUUUAAGAUGCCUAAGAAGGUAGAUAAGCAUGUAUAUGAUCAUAUGGUAGAUCGUGAGAUGGUUACUGAAGCUAUCUUCUACCAUGAUCUACCAUUUCGAUAUGUGGAAUACGAGGACCAACAUCUCAGUCAUUCAUUAUCUUGAAAUUGAUAAUUUUGGUAUAAAUGUUCAUAAUGAAGGAUUUUUUUGAGUUGGAAAAGAGCAUUGGACAAGGAGCUAGUGAUCCAAAGACACAUUUGGAUAUCUACUUGGAAGGGCCAAGGCUAAAUAGGAGGGCUAACUUAAAUUUGGAUGUCUUGAGUUAUUGGAAGGAGAACCAACAUCGAUUUGGUGAUUUAACAUCUAUGGCUAGAGACAUCCUCAUCAUUCCGAUCACCACAGUAGCUUCUGAGUCUGCCUUUAGCGUUGGAUCCCGAGUUUUAACUCCUUACCGAAACCGCCUCUUACCUAAAAUGUCCAAGUUCUUCUUUGCACAAGGAAUUCACUACAGGAAAUGUGGU
Molecule: long non-coding RNA, 1176 nt
Organism: Brassica oleracea var. oleracea
Lineage: Eukaryota; Viridiplantae; Streptophyta; Magnoliopsida; Brassicales; Brassicaceae
Exons: 3
Source: RefSeq, a predicted model, not a curated record